Molecule: ribosomal RNA, 491 nt
Filed under: uncultured bacterium
Lineage: Bacteria
Description: partial 16S ribosomal RNA
Rfam family: Bacterial small subunit ribosomal RNA
Source: RNAcentral
AGUGAACGCUGGCGGUAGGCCUAACACAUGCAAGUCGAACGGCAGCACAGUAAGAGCUUGCUCUUACGGGUGGCGAGUGGCGGACGGGUGAGGCAUACAUCGGACUCUACUUUUUCGUGGGGGCUAACGUAGGGAAACUUACGCUAAUACCGCAUACGACCUACGGGUGAAAGCAGGGGAUCUUCGGACCUUGCGCGAUUGAUUGAGCCGAUGUCGGAUUAGCUAGUUGGCGGGGUAAAGGCCCACCAAGGCGACGAUCCGUAGCUGGUCUGAGAGGAUGAGCAGCCACACGGGAUCUGAGACACGGUCCAGACUCCCACGGGAGGCAGGAGGGGGGAAUAUUGGACAAUGGGCGCAAGCCUGAGCCAGCCAUACCGCGUGGGUGAAGAAGGCCUGCGGGUUGUAGAGCCCUUUUGUUGGGAGAGAAAAGCAGCAGGGUAAUACCCCGCUGAUUUGCGGGUACGGAAAGAAUAAGCACCGGUUAACUUCGU